This 434-nucleotide ribosomal RNA is filed under the name uncultured bacterium. RNAcentral describes it as "bacterial SSU rRNA". It matches the Rfam family "Bacterial small subunit ribosomal RNA", at positions 958 to 1392 of the family's 1533-position model. The record is from RNAcentral.
AACGCGAAGAACCUUACCUGGCCUUGACAUAGUAGAGACUUUCCAGAGAUGGAUUGGUGCCUUCGGGAAUCUACAUACAGGUGCUGCAUGGCUGUCGUCAGCUCGUGUCGUGAGAUGUUGGGUUAAGUCCCGCAACGAGCGCAACCCUUUUCCUUACUUGCCAGCAUUUCGGAUGGGAACUUUAAGGAUACUGCCAGUGACAAACUGGAGGAAGGCGGGGACGACGUCAAGUCAUCAUGGCCCUUACGGCCAGGGCUACACACGUGCUACAAUGGUCGGUACAAAGGGUUGCUACACAGCGAUGUGAUGCUAAUCUCAAAAAGCCGAUCGUAGUCCGGAUCCCAGUCUGCAACUCGACUGCGUGAAGUCGGAAUCGCUAGUAAUCGCGGAUCAGAAUGCCGCGGUGAAUACGUUCCCGGGCCUUGUACACACCG